AGGACGAACGCUGGCGGUGUGCUUAACACAUGCAAGUCGUGGGCACCAGCAAUGGUGACCGGCGAACGGGUGCGUAACACGUAAGCGACCUACCGAUUUGAGGGGAUAGCCGGCCCAACGGCCGGGUAAUACCGCAUACGCCAGGCGAGCUUCAUGGCUUGCUUGGGAAACCUCAGGGGCAAAUCGAGGGGCUUGCGGCCUAUCAGCUAGUUGGCGGGGUAAUGGCCCACCAAGGCUACGACGGGUAGCUGGU
RNAcentral lists this ribosomal RNA (253 nucleotides) under uncultured bacterium. RNAcentral's name for it is "partial small subunit ribosomal RNA". It matches the Rfam family "Bacterial small subunit ribosomal RNA", at positions 26 to 291 of the family's 1533-position model. The record is from RNAcentral.